This 692-nucleotide ribosomal RNA is filed under the name uncultured Staphylococcus sp. RNAcentral's name for it is "bacterial SSU rRNA". It matches the Rfam family "Bacterial small subunit ribosomal RNA", at positions 62 to 736 of the family's 1533-position model. Lineage: Bacteria; Bacillati; Bacillota; Bacilli; Caryophanales; Staphylococcaceae. The record is from RNAcentral.
UCGAGCGAACGGACGAGAAGCUUGCUUCUCUGACGUUAGCGGCGGACGGGUGAGUAACACGUGGAUAACCUACCUAUAAGACUGGGAUAACUUCGGGAAACCGGAGCUAAUACCGGAUAAUAUUUUGAACCGCAUGGUUCAAAAGUGAAAGACGGUCUUGCUGUCACUUAUAGAUGGAUCCGCGCUGCAUUAGCUAGUUGGUAAGGUAACGGCUUACCAAGGCAACGAUGCAUAGCCGACCUGAGAGGGUGAUCGGCCACACUGGAACUGAGACACGGUCCAGACUCCUACGGGAGGCAGCAGUAGGGAAUCUUCCGCAAUGGGCGAAAGCCUGACGGAGCAACGCCGCGUGAGUGAUGAAGGUCUUCGGAUCGUAAAACUCUGUUAUUAGGGAAGAACAUAUGUGUAAGUAACUGUGCACAUCUUGACGGUACCUAAUCAGAAAGCCACGGCUAACUACGUGCCAGCAGCCGCGGUAAUACGUAGGUGGCAAGCGUUAUCCGGAAUUAUUGGGCGUAAAGCGCGCGUAGGCGGUUUUUUAAGUCUGAUGUGAAAGCCCACGGCUCAACCGUGGAGGGUCAUUGGAAACUGGAAAACUUGAGUGCAGAAGAGGAAAGUGGAAUUCCAUGUGUAGCGGUGAAAUGCGCAGAGAUAUGGAGGAACACCAGUGGCGAAGGCGACUUUCUGGUCUG